RNAcentral lists this ribosomal RNA (507 nucleotides) under Fusarium verticillioides. Its description in RNAcentral is "eukaryotic LSU rRNA". The stretch from base 150 to 303 matches the Rfam family "5.8S ribosomal RNA". The record is from RNAcentral. Lineage: Eukaryota; Fungi; Ascomycota; Sordariomycetes; Hypocreales; Nectriaceae.
GGGGAUACGUGUUAACUCCCAACCCCUGUGACAUACCAAUUGUUGCCUCGGCGGAUCAGCCCGCUCCCGGUAAAACGGGACGGCCCGCCAGAGGACCCCUAAACUCUGUUUCUAUAUGUAACUUCUGAGUAAAACCAUAAAUAAAUCAAAACUUUCAACAACGGAUCUCUUGGUUCUGGCAUCGAUGAAGAACGCAGCAAAAUGCGAUAAGUAAUGUGAAUUGCAGAAUUCAGUGAAUCAUCGAAUCUUUGAACGCACAUUGCGCCCGCCAGUAUUCUGGCGGGCAUGCCUGUUCGAGCGUCAUUUCAACCCUCAAGCCCAGCUUGGUGUUGGGACUCGCGAGUCAAAUCGCGUUCCCCAAAUUGAUUGGCGGUCACGUCGAGCUUCCAUAGCGUAGUAGUAAAACCCUCGUUACUGGUAAUCGUCGCGGCCACGCCGUUAAACCCCAACUUCUGAAUGUUGACCUCGGAUCAGGUAGGAAUACCCGCUGAACUUAAGCAUAUCAAA